AGUGAACGCUGGCGGUAGGCCUAACACAUGCAAGUCGAACGGCAGCACAGUAAGAGCUUGCUCUUACGGGUGGCGAGUGGCGGACGGGUGAGGAAUACAGCGGAAUCUACUUUUUCGUGGGGGAUAACGUAGGGAAACUUACGCUAACACCGCAUACGACCUACGGGUGAGAGCAGGGGAUCUUCGGACCUUGCGCGAUUGAAUGAGCCGAUGUCGGAUUAGCUAGUUGGCGGGGUAAAGGCCCACCAAGGCGACGAUCCGUAGCUGGUCUGAGAGGAUGAUCAGCCACACUGGAACUGAGACACGGUCCAGACUCCUACGGGAGGCAGCAGUGGGGAAUAUUGGACAAUGGGCGCAAGCCUGAUCCAGCCAUACCGCGUGGGUGAAGAAGGCCUUCGGGUUGUAAAGCCCUUUUGUUGGGAAAGAAAAGCAGCAGGUUAAUACCCCGCUGUUCUGACGGUACCCAAAGAAUAAGCACCGGCUAACUUCGUG
Molecule: ribosomal RNA, 492 nt
Filed under: uncultured bacterium
Lineage: Bacteria
Description: partial 16S ribosomal RNA
Rfam family: Bacterial small subunit ribosomal RNA
Source: RNAcentral